UUAGUUCAACAUAUAUCCUACGAUUAAUCAAACAAACAAACAGAGAAGAUGACAAACAAAACUACAGAAAGAAAUUUUGAAAACAUACAUGUUGGACCCGUAGGAUAGAAGCCAGCACUACUCAGUUGCAAGUUGGGGUGUUGGAGGAGGUCCAGGAGGAACAGCUGCAUCGGAAGCGUCAGCAUCAGAUGAAACGACAGUCCACUCGGGCGGCAGAGGAGGUAGCGGAGCAUACACUGUGGGGCGACGCUUAAUAUCCCAUGGCUGGGUUUUACGCGGCCGAGUUUUCAUGUGGUGAGACGUUCCCUUUUUCUGUGGACGCGACGAACACUCUAUCACCGCCGCACCGCCACCCAAUCUCGGGGCUGCC
This 370-nucleotide long non-coding RNA is filed under the name Vitis vinifera (wine grape). Its description in RNAcentral is "long non-coding RNA (VVIN_LNC002104)". The record is from RNAcentral. Lineage: Eukaryota; Viridiplantae; Streptophyta; Magnoliopsida; Vitales; Vitaceae.